UAAAUCAUUAAGAUUACUGUAGAACAGGAGUAGCACCAACUUUGGGAGGUAAAACCAAAGGUUGAUUGCGAUGCCAAAAAUUUAAAAGUAGAGAGGAAAUCUUAGCGGGAACAUCUUCAUGAACAAAAUGACCAGUUUCAGGAAGAAUCUCAAGUUGAUAUUUUCCUUGCAUUUGUCCAAUUGUUAACGUUUUAUCUAGACGAUCGGUACCAGCGACAAUAAGCAUCCUUCCAUAUGGUGCUCUUAGGAAUUUGUCACUUAAACCCUUAAACCAGUCCAUCCAAUACGGCGAUGUUUUGUAAAGAUCGGUUCGCCAAACGAAUGUGCCAUCUUCCUGCUGAACGAGAAGUGAAGGAACUGUAAUACAGGCCGAUAAUCUGUUUCUAGUAACUAAAGUCUUGAUAUGCCAAGAAAUUGCAUCAUCAAUUGAUUUAAAGCUAGUAGGACGAUUAGAGAGGUACGUUUUCAUAAAACCCAAUGCUUCCAUCGCAGUCCCUUCAACCACAUCAAUGACAACAAGUCCAGAAGUAUUGGGAAUAGUUUUUUGAAAAGCACAGUAAGCACAAAUGGCACCUCCUAAGCUAUGUCCGACCAAAAUGAUUUUUUCAUCAAGCUCAAACAUACGUUGAACAUAGGAGACUGCGUGAGUAAAGUCCUUAGAUAAUGUUUCCAAGCUCAUAUCUGAUUCGGGUUCUAACGUUGUUUCUCCAUGAGCUCGAAGGUCCAACGCUAAAAAACCAACCUUAUUAUCUGAAUUACUCAAGAGCUCUUGUGUAACCGGUGCAAAUGACAUGGCACUUGAGCCAGCACCGUGUUGCAAAACAAGUAAGCAACCAUCUGGUUGUGGAAGUGUUAAGUACCCAUUGAUAGUCCCAUUCAAAGCCCCACUUUCACCAGGAAUUGUUAACUUUUCAUCAAAGUAAUUUCGCCAAUCGCUUAAACUCUCUUCAUUAUUUAACAUUAGUUCCUUGGUUUCGGAUGAUUGCUCAGAUUCAUUCUCAUAGAGUGUUUGACUGAGUUCUUCUUUACGAAAUGCCAUUAUAAAGUAUUAUAAUAUCUUUUUUAGCUUACACGCAGCACUAUAAAUAGUUCACACGAAUUCCUCGUUGGUUUUAUGAAGAUAGAAUAUACAAUCCCAGAAGCAGAAACGGACCUGAUUGAAAAAAAAAAAAAUUAAUUCAAUGUAAUUCUG
Non-coding RNA from Schizosaccharomyces pombe (fission yeast), 1192 nucleotides. NCBI's taxonomy places the organism in Eukaryota, Fungi, Ascomycota, Schizosaccharomycetes, Schizosaccharomycetales, Schizosaccharomycetaceae. The record is from the annotation of a GenBank genome assembly.